AAAAACAUGGUCUUUUGUUUAUAUAAAAGAUUUAACCUGCUCAAUGAGUAUUAAAUAGCUGCAGUAUUUUGACUGUACAAAGGUAGCAUAAUCAUUUGUUUCUUAAUUAGAAACUGGUAUGAAUGGUUGGAUGAAAAAUAUACUUUCUUUAUUUUAUAUAAAAAACUUUAUUUCUUAGUCAAAAAGCUAAGAUAUUUUUAUAGGACGAGAAGACCCUAUAGAGCUUUAUUAUAUAUAAUAUAGUUUAAUAUAAUUUAAAAUUUUUAUUAUAUUAUAUAUAAUUUCGUUGGGGUGAUGGAAAAAACUUUAUAACUUUUUCUUUUUAAGUCAUUUUAGAUGAAUAUAUGAUCUUUUUUUAGAAAAUUAAGUAUAAGUUACCUUAGGGAUAACAGCGUUAUUUUCUUGGAGAGUUCUUAUCGAUAAGAAAGUUUGCGACCUCGAUGUUGGAUUAGAGUUAGUUUUAGGGGUAAAAAAUUAAAAUCUUGGUCUGUUCGACCAUUAAAUCUUUACAUGAUCUGAGU
Molecule: ribosomal RNA, 521 nt
Filed under: Polymerus sp. WCW-2003d
Lineage: Eukaryota; Metazoa; Arthropoda; Insecta; Hemiptera; Miridae
Description: partial 16S ribosomal RNA
Rfam family: Bacterial large subunit ribosomal RNA
Source: RNAcentral